RNAcentral lists this ribosomal RNA (494 nucleotides) under uncultured bacterium. Its description in RNAcentral is "partial 16S ribosomal RNA". It matches the Rfam family "Bacterial small subunit ribosomal RNA", at positions 28 to 507 of the family's 1533-position model. The record is from RNAcentral.
GACGAACGCUGGCGGCGUGCUUAACACAUGCAAGUCGAACGGUGAAGCGCCUUCCUUUUUGGUGGGUGUGGAUGAGUGGCGAACGGGUGAGUAACACGUGAGUAACCUGCCCCCUUCUUCUGGAUAACCGCAUGAAAGUGUGGCUAAUACGGGAUAUUCUGGGUCUGUCGCAUGAUGGGUCUGGGAAAGAUAUUGUUUCGGUGGGGGAUGGGCUCGCGGCCUAUCAGCUUGUUGGUGGGGUGAUGGCCUACCAAGGCGGUGACGGGUAGCCGGCCUGAGAGGGUGGGCGGUCACACUGGGACUGAGACACGGCACAGACUCCUACGGGAGGGAGCAGGGGGGAAUAUUGCACAAUGGGCGCAAGCCUGAUGCAGCGACGCCGCGUGAGGGAUGGGGGCCUUCGGGUUGUGAACCUCUUUCGCCAGUGAAGCAGGCCUGCCUCGUUUGUGGGUGGGUUGACGGUAGCUGGAUAAGAAGCGCCGGCUAACUACGUG